RNAcentral lists this non-coding RNA (201 nucleotides) under uncultured Clostridium sp. RNAcentral describes it as "SAM riboswitch (S box leader)". It matches the Rfam family "SAM riboswitch aptamer (S box leader)". From Rfam's summary of the family: The SAM riboswitch is found upstream of a number of genes which code for proteins involved in methionine or cysteine biosynthesis in Gram-positive bacteria. The SAM riboswitch acts at the level of transcription termination control. The record is from RNAcentral. Lineage: Bacteria; Bacillati; Bacillota; Clostridia; Eubacteriales; Clostridiaceae.
UUUAUUAAGAAUGGUGGAGGGACUGGCCCUGAGAAACCUAGCAACCUGUCGUAAGUGACAAGUAGCAAGUGAAUAGUUAAUAAUAAAGCUCAUUAUGGAGCUUUAAAUUGUAUUUUUAAAAUUCAAUUUAUAUAUUAACUUGAAACUUAUCACUGAUUGACGCUGGUGCUAAAUCCUGCAGGUUUAACCUGAGAAAUGAGA